GUACUGGUGAAGAGUCCCAGAGUAGGACGAAACAGCCGUCCAGUAC
Trichobilharzia regenti is the source of this 46-nucleotide non-coding RNA. The record is from Rfam. Lineage: Eukaryota; Metazoa; Platyhelminthes; Trematoda; Strigeidida; Schistosomatidae.